GCUCUCAAUGAUGAUAUGGCCACCACUUCUUCUUGGGCCGGGCCGGCCUGCCACAAACGGCCAUUGCAAUUUUGGCCUUUUCUGAUAGGCCGCUGUCUCAGCUUGGCCUUUUCUGAACCCUGAAGACAGC
RNAcentral lists this small nucleolar RNA (130 nucleotides) under Oryza sativa (Asian cultivated rice). RNAcentral's name for it is "Z251 small nucleolar RNA". The record is from RNAcentral. Lineage: Eukaryota; Viridiplantae; Streptophyta; Magnoliopsida; Poales; Poaceae.